RNAcentral lists this unclassified non-coding RNA (381 nucleotides) under uncultured bacterium. RNAcentral describes it as "contains 16S-23S intergenic spacer region". The record is from RNAcentral.
UCCGGUUUGUCACCGGCAGUCCCACUAGAGUGCCCAGCUUGACCUGAUGGCAACUAGAAACAGGGGUUUCGCUCGUUAAGGGACUUAACCCGACAUCUCACGACACGAGCUGACGACAGCCAUGCAACACCUUUGUACGUUCCACCGGUUAAGGUGUCAUUCUACUUUCAUAGAACUAAUCCGUACACUUCGAGCCCGGGUAAGGUUCUUCGCGUUGCAUCGAAUUAAGCAACAUGCUCCACCGCUUGUGUGAGCCCCCGCCAAUUCCUUUGAGUUUCAAUCUUGCGAUCGUACUUCCCAGGUGGGAUACUUAAUGCUUUCGCUCAGACACACACAGUGUAUCGCGUAUGUCGAGUAUCCAUCGUUUAGGGCGUGGACUAC